Mauremys reevesii (Reeves's turtle) is the source of this 481-nucleotide long non-coding RNA. RefSeq lists it as uncharacterized. Lineage: Eukaryota; Metazoa; Chordata; Testudines; Geoemydidae. The record is from RefSeq and is a predicted model, not a curated record. The transcript has 3 exons.
UGUGACUGCACCAGCUACAAGUAAAGCCCAUCAGAGGGCAGAUUCAGAUCUCAGUUAUACCCGUGUAAACACGGAGUUGUUCUGCUGAAGUCAAUAGACUUCACAUUCGCACCAGUGCAACUCAGAACAGAGUCUAGACCUUACAUUGCAAAAGCCUGUAUUUGUGAGCCCAUAUUCUGGCUGGGACCAGCCCUGUGCCCAACUGCCCAUUGGACAAUCUGCUUCUCACUAAAGGACAGGAGAUGCCUACUCAGUUGUAACCUAAAGACCUUGAGAGAUGGAAACAGCCAAAGCUACAUGGGCAAAAGGAGGCUAGAUACACUGCAUAAUGAAGAAUGAGCUGGAGAUGGUGAAUAUGACAACUCUGUAGCUAUUCAUUCUACAUACAGAUGAACCCACUGCUUACGUAUUUUGUGACCAAUCCUGCCCACCCUGUCUGAUUUUGAUGGAGAAACUGAGGCAAACAGAAGUGAGAUGCCAU